UGAGUUAGACCUAGUAGGAAUGUCGGUGAGAUUGGGGCCGAACCCACUGGGAACAUCGUUGUAGUUCUCACCCCACUAUUUUCACAGAGUCGGGGCCGAGCGAGCCGGCAAGCGAUCGCGGUAAAGGUAUCGCACCUAGACGGUGGCCACCCAAGUCGAGUUGACUUACAUUUCGUUAGUAGUAUACCUAUGAUCAUCUUUUGUACUUGAUGACUACUGAUGUAAGGUACCGGACUUCUAAAAUUAUGAAGUUAUGGUGUACGUUGCUUUGGAAAGCCAUUUGGAUGGUUUCGUGAGGUUCGGUGAAGUUCUGGAGCAAUCGGGCGUUUCGGUGCGCAUAGGCGCGAAAACGGAACCCGAAAGGCUAAGUUGGGCCGUGAGCUAAAUCCGGCAUUAGCGAGGAUGGAAAGAUGAUGAAAACAUGUUUGAAAACAUGUUUGGAGAGUCUCGGUUCGAUUUGAGACGAAUCGGAGGUCAAACGAACGAAAACGAGCGAAAACGGAGCGAAAACGGACGAAGCUGAAAAUUGGCUAAGUCUGGGCUGGAGGUCUCUCUGGAACCGGUCCCAGGCAGAGAGACCGGUCUCUCAGAGACCGGUCCCUCAUGCAGAGACCGGUCCCCGAACCCCGAAAAUACCCAGUUCGGGCUGUUGCAAGAGAGGCUUUGUUGAGGGGUUUUUCUGCAAAUGUUACAUGGGUUAAGUGUAUAGAGAGGAGUAGAACCUCUCUCUCUCUCUUUCCCUCACCGUUUCAACCCCAA
RNAcentral lists this long non-coding RNA (759 nucleotides) under Ananas comosus (pineapple). Its description in RNAcentral is "long non-coding RNA (ACOM_LNC034216)". Lineage: Eukaryota; Viridiplantae; Streptophyta; Magnoliopsida; Poales; Bromeliaceae. The record is from RNAcentral.